GGGGCUUCGUCUUCGGACUGAAAAUGACUGCAAACUUUUGAAUAUUGACUAACUGCCCCGACGUCCGAUAGUAGGACCUGACAAUGGAGGCAAAUUGCUCCACAUUUCGGACCGAGGCACACUCGAUGAGGAGAUAGUGGAGAGAUGGAAUCUUGACUCUUGACUUGAAAUGGCAAGCUUCUAUCUCUUGGAGGUAGACUUACAUAAAUAAAUCCGGUACUCACCGAUUGGAUUAUCAACAGAUGCUUUCCUCUGGAGAAGAUGAGACUGCCUUAGAACAGCCUGCAAGGUUAAUUGACAAAUAGAUUGUUUGGAAAAAGGGGAG
Molecule: long non-coding RNA, 325 nt
Filed under: Elaeis guineensis (African oil palm)
Lineage: Eukaryota; Viridiplantae; Streptophyta; Magnoliopsida; Arecales; Arecaceae
Description: long non-coding RNA (EGUI_LNC025489)
Source: RNAcentral